This 252-nucleotide ribosomal RNA is filed under the name uncultured bacterium. RNAcentral describes it as "partial 16S ribosomal RNA". It matches the Rfam family "Bacterial small subunit ribosomal RNA", at positions 524 to 776 of the family's 1533-position model. The record is from RNAcentral.
UACGUAGGGGGCUAGCGUUAUCCGGAAUUACUGGGCGUAAAGGGUGCGUAGGCGGUCUUUCAAGUCAGACGUGAAAGGCUACGGCUCAACCGUAGUAAGCUUUUGAAACUGUAAGACUUGAGUGCAGGAGAGGAGAGUAGAAUUCCUAGUGUAGCGGUGAAAUGCGUAGAUAUUAGGAGGAAUACCAGUUGCGAAGGCGGCUCUCUGGACUGUAACUGACGCUGAGGCACGAAAGCGUGGGGAGCAAACAGG